CCUACGGGAGGCAGCAGUGGGGAAUAUUGCACAAUGGGGGAAACCCUGAUGCAGCGACGCCGCGUGAGUGAAGCAGUAUUUCGGUAUGUAAAGCUCUAUCAGCAGGGAAGAAAAUGACGGUACCUGAUUAAGAAGCCCCGGCUAACUACGUGCCAGCAGCCGCGGGAAUACGUAGGGGGCAAGCGUUAUCCGGAUUUACUGGGUGUAAAGGGAGCGUAGACGGCAGCGCAAGUCUGAAGUGAAAUGCCGGGGCUUAACCCCGGAACUGCUUUGGAAACUGUGCAGCUAGAGUGCAGGAGAGGUAAGUGGAAUUCCUAGUGUAGCGGUGAAAUGCGUAGAUAUUAGGAGGAACACCAGUGGCGAAGGCGGCUUACUGGACUGUAACUGACGUUGAGGCUCGAAAGCGUGGGGAGCAAACAGGAUUAGAUACCCGUGUAGUC
This 440-nucleotide ribosomal RNA is filed under the name uncultured bacterium. Its description in RNAcentral is "partial 16S ribosomal RNA". It matches the Rfam family "Bacterial small subunit ribosomal RNA", at positions 338 to 795 of the family's 1533-position model. The record is from RNAcentral.